AUUGAACGCUGGCGGCAUGCUUUAUACAUGCAAGUCGUGCGGCAGCGCGGGGGCAACUCUGGCGGCGAGCGGCGAACGGGUGAGUAAUACAUAGGAACGUAUCCUGAAAUGGGGGAUAGCUCGGCGAAAGCCGGAUUAAUACCGCAUACGCUCCACGGAGGAAAGCAGGGGAUCGCAAGACCUUGCGUUUCUGGAGCGGCCUAUGUCUGAUUAGCUAGNGGCGGGGUAAUAGCCCACCAAGGCGACGAUCAGUAGCUGGUCUGAGAGGAUGAUCAGCCACACUGGGACUGAGACACGGCCCAGACUCCUACGGGAGGCAGCAGUAGGGAAUUUUGGACAAUGGGGCAACCCUGAUCCAGCCAUGCCGCGUGAGUGAAGAAGGCCUGGUUGU
Molecule: ribosomal RNA, 391 nt
Filed under: uncultured bacterium
Lineage: Bacteria
Description: bacterial SSU rRNA
Rfam family: Bacterial small subunit ribosomal RNA
Source: RNAcentral